GAUGAACGCUGGCGGCGUGCCUAAUACAUGCAAGUCGAGCGAACGGACGAGAAGCUUGCUUCUCUGAUGUUAGCGGCGGACGGGUGAGUAACACGUGGAUAACCUACCUAUAAGACUGGGAUAACUUCGGGAAACCGGAGCUAAUACCGGAUAAUAUUUUGAACCGCAUGGUUCAAAAGUGAAAGACGGUCUUGCUGUCACUUAUAGAUGGAUCCGCGCUGCAUUAGCUAGUUGGUAAGGUAACGGCUUACCAAGGCAACGAUGCAUAGCCGACCUGAGAGGAGGAACAGGCCCACUGGAACUGAGACAAGGGCCCGACUCCUAAGGGAGGGAACCGGGGGGAAUUUUGCACAAUGGGGGGAAGGCUGACCGGACCACGCCGGGGGUGGGGAGGAAGUCUUCGGAUUGGAAAACACUUUUUAUUGGGAAGAAAAGUAGUGGGAAGAAACGGUGCCAUCUUGACGUUACCAAAAGAAGAAGCCCCGGCUAACUUCGUG
Molecule: ribosomal RNA, 497 nt
Filed under: uncultured bacterium
Lineage: Bacteria
Description: partial 16S ribosomal RNA
Rfam family: Bacterial small subunit ribosomal RNA
Source: RNAcentral